AGUGAACGCUGGCGGUAGGCCUAACACAUGCAAGUCGAACGGCAGCACAGUAAGAGCUUGCUCUUACGGGUGGCGAGUGGCGGACGGGUGAGGAAUACAUCGGAAUCUACUUUUUCGUGGGGGAUAACGUAGGGAAACUUACGCUAAUACCGCAUACGACCUACGGGUGAAAGCAGGGGAUCUUCGGACCUUGCGCGAUUGAAUGAGCCGAUGUCGGAUUAGCUAUUUGGCGGGGUAAAGGCCCACCAAGGCGACGAUCCGUAGCUGGUCUGAGAGGAUGAUCAGCCACACUGGAACUGAGACACGGUCCAGACUCCUACGGGAGGCAGCAGUGGGGAAUAUUGGACAAUGGGCGCAAGCCUGAUCCAGCCAUACCGCGUGGGUGAAGAAGGCCUUCGGGUUGUAAAGCCCUUUUGUUGGGAAAGAAAAGCAGCAGGUUAAUACCCCGCUGUUCUGACGGUACCCAAAGAAUAAGCACCGGCUAACUUCGCG
This 492-nucleotide ribosomal RNA is filed under the name uncultured bacterium. RNAcentral describes it as "partial 16S ribosomal RNA". It matches the Rfam family "Bacterial small subunit ribosomal RNA", at positions 29 to 507 of the family's 1533-position model. The record is from RNAcentral.